This 242-nucleotide long non-coding RNA is filed under the name Capsicum annuum. RNAcentral's name for it is "long non-coding RNA (CANN_LNC006661)". The record is from RNAcentral. Lineage: Eukaryota; Viridiplantae; Streptophyta; Magnoliopsida; Solanales; Solanaceae.
AUUCUUCAGCUGAGCUCCUGAUUUGAAAUUUCUUUAACUUGUUGCUUGGUUUUCAAUUUCAUCACCCUAUUCUCCAGGCGGGCUCCUGACUUGCUAUUUUCGAUCUGUUGACUUUCAUUUUCUUCACUUUGUUACUUGACUUUCAACUUCUUCACCUUGUCGCUUGACUUUCAAUUUCUUCACCUUGCUGCUUGACUUUCCAUUUAUUCGCUCUGUGCUUCGGGCGGGCUCCUAAAAUCACA